Molecule: transfer RNA, 100 nt
Filed under: Promethearchaeota archaeon CR_4
Lineage: Archaea; Promethearchaeati; Promethearchaeota
Description: Candidatus Lokiarchaeota archaeon CR_4 tRNA-Ala
Rfam family: tRNA
About the family: Transfer RNA (tRNA) molecules are approximately 80 nucleotides in length. Their secondary structure includes four short double-helical elements and three loops (D, anti-codon, and T loops).
Source: RNAcentral
GGGCUCGUAGAUCAGCUGGAAGAUCGUUCGCUUGGCAAAGGAUUCGCUUCGGAUUCCUCCAACGUGCGAAAGGUCCCGGGUUCAAGUCCCGGCGAGUCCA